UAUUUCACUUACGCUGCAAUUUACAAUUUGUUUGCCACAAUUAAAUUAAAAAAAUGCAGCAAAUCUAUUAUUUCAGAAAAAAAUAAUCAUUAAUUCAUUUACCACCCUCCCCAUGCCAGCGCUGAAUCUCAAAAACCUACUCUUUAUCUCCCAAGCUCGCCAUAUGCCGCUGCCAAAGAAGACAACCGGCGAGAAUCCGAUGUUGCUGCACCUCUAAGUCACGUACACCGUUGUUUCAUUCUUCUCUUUAAUCGUGGUUGCUUCUCCUCCUUUCUACUGUUUUGAGAUGAAAAGGGAUUUGAGGAUGCUUGAUUACCAGGAUUUCAUCGGCAAACUCUACAAUUAGAUUUUGGGGUGGGUCGAGAUUGAUUUUUUUUGCUGAUUCUACUACUCUUGAAGGAAAUUCUACUGUUGUUCCUCUGCUGGAUGUGUUGCCAUCGGUUUUUUAAACUCCAAGGGAGAGGCCCUUUACCAAAAAGGAGUUGGAUGAAGUUCGAGACAAGUGGGCUACUUACUUCAACGAUUGUGAACUACCCUCACUGUAAUAAAUAGAGAAGGCUUGUAGUUAUUCGUGACUCAUACAUUACUUUGUUAUUUAUCGAUUUAAUUAAUUACAUUUGAAUUAAUUCGGUAAUAUUAUUGGAAAUUUGAAAUUUAUAUCAUUUUUGAGAAUGUCAAGCUGAUGUUUGAUGAAACAGAAAUUAUAUUGCAAAAUCAGAUAUUAUAUUGCAAAAUAUUAGGAAUUAUAUUGCAGAUUUUUU
Molecule: long non-coding RNA, 761 nt
Organism: Spinacia oleracea (spinach)
Lineage: Eukaryota; Viridiplantae; Streptophyta; Magnoliopsida; Caryophyllales; Amaranthaceae
Exons: 3
Source: RefSeq, a predicted model, not a curated record